AUUCAGUUGACGAGUUCCAAAUAGGACGAAACGUGCGUUCUGGAU
Molecule: non-coding RNA, 45 nt
Filed under: Schistosoma margrebowiei
Lineage: Eukaryota; Metazoa; Platyhelminthes; Trematoda; Strigeidida; Schistosomatidae
Source: RNAcentral